This 253-nucleotide ribosomal RNA is filed under the name uncultured bacterium. RNAcentral describes it as "partial 16S ribosomal RNA". It matches the Rfam family "Bacterial small subunit ribosomal RNA", at positions 524 to 776 of the family's 1533-position model. The record is from RNAcentral.
UACGUAGGGGGCGAGCGUUGUCCGGAUUUAUUGGGCGUAAAGAGCGUGUAGGCGGCCAGACAAGUCUGCUGUGAAAACUCGAGGCUCAACCUCGAGCUGUCGGUGGAAACUGUCUGGCUAGAGUCCGGAAGAGGAGAGUGGAAUUCCUGGUGUAGCGGUGAAAUGCGCAGAUAUCAGGAAGAACACCUAUGGCGAAGGCAGCUCUCUGGGACGGUACUGACGCUGAGACGCGAAAGCGUGGGGAGCGAACAGG